Molecule: non-coding RNA, 81 nt
Organism: Ciona savignyi (Pacific transparent sea squirt)
Lineage: Eukaryota; Metazoa; Chordata; Ascidiacea; Phlebobranchia; Cionidae
Source: Rfam
GCUGCGAUGGCCGAGUGUUUAAGGCGUUGGGCUCGAAAAUAAUGGGAUAUUCCCGCGCAGGUUCGAAUCCUGUUCGCAGCG